This is a small nuclear RNA of Dermacentor albipictus, 163 nucleotides long. RefSeq annotates it as U1 spliceosomal RNA. NCBI's taxonomy places the organism in Eukaryota, Metazoa, Arthropoda, Arachnida, Ixodida, Ixodidae. The record is from RefSeq and is a predicted model, not a curated record.
GUCGUUACCUGGUGCCGGGCUUACCGGUGACCGUAAAGCACAGGGUCCCGUGUUGAGGCCUACCAUUGCACUGCGGUUGGCUGAAGCACGCCACUAUCCGAAUCCAGGAUAGGUGGGGCAUGUAAUUUUUGGUAGUGGGGCUUGGCAUACGCGCCAGCCCGUA